Molecule: long non-coding RNA, 1151 nt
Organism: Homo sapiens (human)
Lineage: Eukaryota; Metazoa; Chordata; Mammalia; Primates; Hominidae
Product: long intergenic non-protein coding RNA 954
Source: Ensembl
UGAUGUAAAUUGGAGUAAUACUGACAGACCUUCUUCUUUGAUAGACUAAGCAGUGUUGCUAGAAACAAAUCAUUGCAUAACUAAAUCAUGAUCCACCAUGCACAUAGCCCACCAACCAAUGGAGAAGACCAGCAGAACAGAUAGUAGGCUAUCUCUUCCAGCCUCAAGCCCCAAUGCUGUCAUUCCUAAGUUGAGACGUUGAAGUCUCUUUGCCUCCCUGGUACAGAGUCUGUUUGCCUUGUCUUGUCCAUGAACCAGAGUUCCUUCAAGUCCUUUCUUGCUCUGCAGUUCUACAAACCAGUGAGCCUGCUCUUGCCUCCAUGCUUGUCCUAGGCUGAUGCUGCUCUGCUACUACUCAGUUAAAGAAACAUUGGCCCAAGAGGACAGGCACAAGGACAGGUGGAAGAAGAAAGCUGUCCUGCCACCAGGAGAUGGCAUGGUGGUAUGGCAGUCCCAGGGCCUCAGAGAGAGCAGACAGACACUGGAGAUCCAGGCAAGAGUAGCUCAAGGUAAGGGUGUUCUGGAGUAUACUUUGGGGGACAAAGGGCAGAAGAAGAAAGUUGUCCAUGAGUUCACCAAGCCCUUCCUCUCUUAAGAUGAGUCGUUCAUUGAGUUUCACCAUGGGGAGAUGGCCAUUGUGAAUCAGCCAUAGUCAACACUCUUUGAGGUAGAACUGAUGAGCUUUGCAGAUGCCUCAGCAGAAUUACUCCUGGACAAGUGUUGGGUGUCAGAGUCACCAGAAUUUGAUGGCAGCCCCCAGUGGAACAUAAUAAAUAGGUACAUAUCCUCAGCUAGCAGCUGAGAGGGCAGAACCAGAACCCCAGUCCUACCAGAUAUAGCCCAAGAUUCUGUAAGAAUAUCUUACAUGCUAAAGCAAGAUCCCCAAAGUGAGGACCUGAUAUGGUUAGGCUGUGUCCCCACCCAAAAUCUCAUCUUGAAUUAUCCCCACAAUCCCCACUUGUCAAGGGCAGGACCAAGGGUGGAGGUAUGGGGGCAGUUUCCCCGGAGCUGUUCUCAUGAUAGUGACUCUCACGAGAUCUGAUGGUUUUAUAAGUGUCUGACAUGUCCCCUGCUUGCACUCACUCCAUCCUGCCACCCUGUGAAGGAGGUGCCUGCUUCUCCUUUGCCUUCUGCCAUGAUUGUAAGUUCCC